This 496-nucleotide ribosomal RNA is filed under the name uncultured bacterium. Its description in RNAcentral is "partial 16S ribosomal RNA". It matches the Rfam family "Bacterial small subunit ribosomal RNA", at positions 28 to 506 of the family's 1533-position model. The record is from RNAcentral.
GACGAACGCUGGCGGCGUGCCUAAUACAUGCAAGUCGAGCGCUGAAGCUCGGUACUUGUUCCAACUGGGUGUGCAGCGCACGGGUGUGUCACGCGUGGGGACUCCGCCCUUGAUCGGGGUACAACCUGUGGACACGAAUGCUAAUACCGUAUAAACACUUUAAACACAAGGUUUAAGUUUGAAAGAUUCUAUUGCUUCACUCUAAGAUGACCCCCCGUGGUAUUAGCUAGUUGGUGAGGUAAUGGCUCACCAAGGCGAUGAAGCAUAGCCGACCUGAGAGGGUGAUCGGCUGCAUUGGGACUGAGACACGGCGCAAACUCCUACGGGAGGCAGCAGUGGGGAAUCGUCGGCAAUGGACGAAAGUCUGAACGAGUAACGCCGCGUGAGUGAGGAAGGGUUUCGGAUCGUAAAGCUGUGUUGGUAGAGAAGAACGUUGGUGGGAGUGGAAAGCGCAUCAAGGGACGGUAACGACCAAGAAAGGGAGGGCGACCUACGU